AGGUAUGUUAAUAGCAUACUCAUUUGACGUUAGCUGCAGAAGAAGCACCGGCUAACUCCGUGCCAGCAGCCGCGGGUAAAUACGGGUAGGGUGCGAGACGUUUAAUCGGAAAUUACUGGGACGUAAAAGCGCAUGCAGGUGGUUUGUUAAGUACAGAUGUAGAAAAGGCCCCGGGGCUACAACCUACGGUAAUUGCUAUUUAGAAACUGGACAAACUAGAGUACUGUAGAGGGGGUAGAAUUUCAGGUGUAGCGGUGAAAUGCGUAGAGAUCUGAAGGAAUACCGGUGGCGAAGGCGGCCCCCUGGACAGAUACUGACACUCAGAUGCGAAAGCGUGGGGAGCAAACAGGAUUAGAUACCCUGGUAG
RNAcentral lists this ribosomal RNA (367 nucleotides) under uncultured bacterium. Its description in RNAcentral is "bacterial SSU rRNA". It matches the Rfam family "Bacterial small subunit ribosomal RNA", at positions 446 to 793 of the family's 1533-position model. The record is from RNAcentral.